CGGGAGAAAGAGACAGAAAAAUUGAAGCAUUGAAAAGCAAAAAGGUUGCGUGAAGGUUAGAUUAGAUGUACAAAAAUGGCAAUAAACGCAAAGGUAGAGAAUACCAGAUUAAUCGUACAGAAAAGCAAAUCAAAUAAGCGUGUAAACGACACCAUUUACACCCAAAUUGCUUUGAAUUUCGAAGGACUCAAAAGAGAAGAUGACAAUGAAGAGACGAAGAAAGCAAAAUGAUAGGUGCGGGUCUUGCUUUCUUU
This 254-nucleotide unclassified non-coding RNA is filed under the name Hevea brasiliensis (rubber tree). The record is from RNAcentral. Lineage: Eukaryota; Viridiplantae; Streptophyta; Magnoliopsida; Malpighiales; Euphorbiaceae.